RNAcentral lists this ribosomal RNA (990 nucleotides) under Pseudomonas plecoglossicida. Its description in RNAcentral is "bacterial SSU rRNA". It matches the Rfam family "Bacterial small subunit ribosomal RNA", at positions 483 to 1471 of the family's 1533-position model. The record is from RNAcentral. Lineage: Bacteria; Pseudomonadati; Pseudomonadota; Gammaproteobacteria; Pseudomonadales; Pseudomonadaceae.
CAGCAUAGCACUGUUUAUCUCUGUGCCAGCAGCUGUGGUAAUGCAGAGGGUGCCACUUAUAAUCGAAUUACAAGCCUAGAGCGCGGCGUAGGUUGUUCGUUAAGUAAGAUGUAAAAGCCCCGGCCUCAACCUGCGGAGUUGCAUCCAAAAGUGGGGAGUUAGAGUACAGUAGAGGGGUGGUGGCAUCUCCCGUGUAGCGGUGAAAUGUGUAGAUAUGGGAAGGCACACCAGUGGAGAAGGCGAUCACCUGGAGUGAUACUGACACUGAGGUGCGAAAGCGGGGGGAGCAAACAGGAUUAGAUACCGUGGUAGUCCACGCCGUAAACGAUGUCAACUAGCCGUUGGAAUCCUUGAGAUUUUAGUGGCGCAGCUAACGCAUUAAGUUGACCGCCUGGGGAGUACGGCCGCAAGGUUAAAACUCAAAUGAAUUGACGGGGGCCCGCACAAGCGGUGGAGCAUGUGGUUUAAUUGGAAGCAACGCGAAGAACCUUACCAGGCCUUGACAUGCAGAGAACUUUCCAGAGAUGGAUUGUUGCCUUCGGGAACUCUGACACAGGUGGUGCAUGGCUGUUGUCAGCUCGUGUUGUGAGAUGUUGGGUUAAGUCCCGUAACGAGCGCAACCCUUGUCUUUAGUUACCAGCACGUUAUGGUGGGCAUUUUAAGGAGACUGCCGGUGACAAACCGGAGGAAGGUGGGGAUGACGUCAAGUCAUCAUGGCCCUUACGCCCUGGGCUACACACGUGUUCCAAUGGUCGGUACAGAGGGUUGCCAAGCCGGGAGGUGGAGCUAAUCUCACAAAACCGUUUGUAGUCCGGAUCGCAGUUUGCAAUUGGAUUGCGGGAAGUGGGAAUCGUUGGUAUUCGGGAAUCACAAUGUCGCGGGGAAUACGUUCCCGGCCCUUGUACACACCCCCCUUCACACCAUGGGAGUGGGUUCACCCAGAAGUAGGUUAGUUUACCCUUUAGGAGGCCGGUACCUAAGGUGGAUUCA